AAACGAAUAAAAAGAAAAGGAGAAAGAAAUACACUUGGAUCGGCCCUGGAACCCACCGUCGUUAUCGGUCCUCCGCCGUCGUCGGUUGCGGGUUUAGGGAGGGGCCCAAAGUCUUCUUCUUCUCUCCUUAUUUCCCCUUUCCAUGGUUAUGGUCUCUGAACGCGCUUCAAUGCGCCGAUCGGAGACGACCUCAUGCGACGCCGACUGUUGGCCAUGACUGCUCGGACGGCGGCUCAAGUAGCUGGACAUGGGGAAGGGAGUUGAGAGAAUGAGGGUUUAGUUUUUAG
RNAcentral lists this long non-coding RNA (287 nucleotides) under Gossypium raimondii (Peruvian cotton). RNAcentral describes it as "long non-coding RNA (GRAI_LNC008571)". The record is from RNAcentral. Lineage: Eukaryota; Viridiplantae; Streptophyta; Magnoliopsida; Malvales; Malvaceae.